Molecule: ribosomal RNA, 472 nt
Filed under: uncultured organism
Description: partial 16S ribosomal RNA
Rfam family: Bacterial small subunit ribosomal RNA
Source: RNAcentral
CACUCCUACGGGAGGCAGCAGUGGGGAAUUUUGGACAAUGGGCGAAAGCCUGAUCCAGCAAUGCCGCGUGAGUGAAGAAGGCCUUCGGGUUGUAAAGCUCUUUUGUCAGGGAAGAAACGGUGAAAGCUAAUAUCUUUUGCUAAUGACGGUACCUGAAGAAUAAGCACCGGCUAACUACGUGCCAGCAGCCGCGGUAAUACGUAGGGUGCAAGCGUUAAUCGGAAUUACUGGGCGUAAAGCGUUCGCAGGCGGUUUUGUAAGUCUGAUGUGAAAUCCCCGGGCUCAACCUGGGAAUUGCAUUGGAGACUGCAAGGCUAGAAUCUGGCAGAGGGGGGUAGAAUUCCACGUGUAGCAGUGAAAUGCGUAGAUAUGUGGAGGAACACCGAUGGCGAAGGCAGCCCCCUGGGUCAAGAUUGACGCUCAUGCACGAAAGCGUGGGGAGCAAACAGGAUUAGAAACCCGGGUAGUCCCA